GUACUUACUGUUAAGGAUCCUGGAAAAGGGAGUGGUUCCUCCUAGCUGCAAACAAGGGCGCUACUUUUCUUUUCUCUUUAAUAGAAUUACGUUUUAUAGGUGUGUCUAGGCAACACAAGGGAAUGUGAAAGACUUUCAGAGGGAAUGUUUGUGAAUACAUCUGGUGUGUACUAAAAAGCUGGAAAACCCCUAAGUAAAUGCAAUAUCGAUAGAAAGCGAGUUUCUUGAAGAGUCAUCUGCUAAACUCCACUAGAGUCAUCUCUACAUUAAUCAGAGCUGAUUUCAUCGACAGCUUGCUUUGGUUAAUUACCGCAGUGUUUUAACUGAAUGCCCCAAGGUAUUGAUGUAAUCAAUGACCACUUCAAGCCUUGGAAUUCUAGGAAUCUUGGCAGAACUCUGGAGACAGUUUAUCAAUAUCUAAGCCCAUAGGUCAAAUAAAAGAUUAAUAAUUUAGACAUAUCAGCUGUAAAUUCAUAAGAACCAUAUGGAUGUCCAAGUGGAGGUGGAGGAGGUGAUUAAGAUGGAAAAAGGCAACCAUGAAUGAAGACACACAGAUCCUCAACCUUUAAAACAGAUGCAACUGACUCACUUAAAAUAGCUGUGUGGAUAUAGAACUUUUAUCAACUACUAUUUACUAAAUUAUAUUGGUGUGUUUGUCCUCAUCUUAGAAUAGCAUAUCAAUAGAUGCUAUAAAAACAUAAGAGGGUGUGGUUAAGAGAAAAAAAAAUUGCCAUUAAGGAAUCAGCAAAUAGGAUGUCUGAAGUGAGGAUAUAGCACCUAUCUCUGAGAUUAAAGUCAUCUGAUCAAAAAUGAUGCCUCUGAGACUAUAACAAAGGAAUGAAUAAUGAAAUAUAAGAAUGGGGAUUCUGCACUAACUCUAUGGGGAAGAAAACAAUGGUAAGAGCAAAAGGAUCAACAGCAGCAACUCCUGUUUCCAUCGAUUUGUUUAUAAGAUGCCGUCUACAUUAUUCCAAAAUAUCCCAGCCUUUUUCUCCCCUGUCAAGCUUCCCUGUCUCUAAAAGAGAUCUUGCUCUUCCUGCACAGAAAGAAAUAAUAAUAUAUCACUGAAAUAUUAUUAUUACAUUUAAAGUUACUUACACUCUUUCCCAUUCCUAUAAUUUCCUAGUUGGAAGCCCUCGCACUUGGGAAAUUAUUUAAUGUGAUUUUUUCUCCCUGACAUAUAAAUUGUCACAUCACCUUAAAUGUUGGGACUUCAGGUUGGGAAGUGGGUGGAUAAUAUUCUUGAGGAAGCUGCCUUCCUUUUAUAGAUAAUGUUACCUCCUUGUAAAGGUUGCUUUCUAUGUAUUAUUCUACUUUUUUUCUAAGAAUAUACCAUAUAAUGAAAACUUUACAGGCUUGACAUCCUAUUACUAAGAUUAUAAUUGUUGAGGUCUUCAAUAGAAUUUCAAGUCAAAUAUGUUGUGCUAUAUGCCUACUUACAUUUCACUCUUUGAUUCACCUAGUUAGGAUCUCAGAAUUGAACUUUAAUUGCAGAUUUAUUACUUCUUUACUCUCUUCAUGUAUUAAUUUAAAAUUUACUUUUUCCUACCUUCAUCUUGGUUUGAGAAGGUUAUUUCCCUUUCAUUUGAUUUAUUUGUUUUAAUUUACAUGUGCAUAUUUAUUACCUGUAUAUAAGCAAAAUUUAUAGAAGAGGAUAGUAUGAGUUAAUAAAUAAGUAUAUUAUCAGGAUAUUUUCUUUAUAUUUAAUAUAUGUUGUAAUUAAAAUGCACUGUUUAGCUGAACUGUGCCUCCUGGAAACUGUAGCAUUUAAAGACAGCACUAUGUGAAAUAUAAAAUUAUGUUUUUUUUC
Molecule: long non-coding RNA, 1810 nt
Organism: Homo sapiens (human)
Lineage: Eukaryota; Metazoa; Chordata; Mammalia; Primates; Hominidae
Product: MIR4500 host gene
Source: Ensembl